GGCCCAGACUCCUACGGGAGGCAGCAGUGAGGAAUAUUGGUCAAUGGACGAGAGUCUGAACCAGCCAAGUAGCGUGAAGGAUGACUGCCCUAUGGGUUGUAAACUUCUUUUAUAUGGGAAUAAAAUGUUCCACGUGUGGGAUUUUGUAUGUACCAUAUGAAUAAGGAUCGGCUAACUCCGUGCCAGCAGCCGCGGUAAUACGGAGGAUCCGAGCGUUAUCCGGAUUUAUUGGGUUUAAAGGGAGCGUAGGUGGAUUGUUAUGUCAGUUGUGAACGUUUGCGGCUCAACCGUAAAAUUGCGAUUGAUUCUGGCAGUCUUGAGUACAGUUGAGGUAGGCGGAAUUCGUGGUGUAGCGGUGAAAUGCUUAGAUAUCACGAAGAACCCCGGUUGCGAAGGCAGCUUACUAAGCUGUGACUGCCAUUGAUGCUCGAAAGUGUGGUAUCAAACAGGAUUAGAUCCCCCAGUA
This 466-nucleotide ribosomal RNA is filed under the name uncultured bacterium. RNAcentral describes it as "bacterial SSU rRNA". It matches the Rfam family "Bacterial small subunit ribosomal RNA", at positions 328 to 792 of the family's 1533-position model. The record is from RNAcentral.